RNAcentral lists this ribosomal RNA (229 nucleotides) under uncultured bacterium. RNAcentral's name for it is "partial 16S ribosomal RNA". It matches the Rfam family "Bacterial small subunit ribosomal RNA", at positions 568 to 796 of the family's 1533-position model. The record is from RNAcentral.
UCCGUAGGCGGACUAAUAAGUCAGGGGUGAAAUCCCACAGCUCAACUGUGUAACUGCCUUUGAUACUGUUAGUCUUGAGUUAUAUGGAAGUAGAUAGAAUGUGUAGUGUAGCGGUGAAAUGCUUAGAGAUUACACAGAAUACCGAUUGCGAAGGCAGUCUACUACGUAUAUACUGACGCUAAUGGACGAAAGCGUGGGGAGCGAACAGGAUUAGAUACCCUGGUAGUCC